AUUGAACGCUGGCGGCAGGCCUAACACAUGCAAGUCGAGCGAGCGGCGGGCGGGGGAGUAAUGUAUGGGGACUGCCCGAUAGAGGGGGAUAACUAGUGGAAACGGUAGCUAAUACCGCAUACUAUCGGAUAACCCAUAUGGGAUUAGCUAGUAGGUGAGGUAAUGGCUCACCUAGGCGACGAACCCUAGCUGGUCUGAGAGGAUGAUCAGCAACACUGGGACUGAGACACGGCCCAGACUCCUACGGAGGCAGCAGUGGGGAAUAUUGGACAAUGGGCGCAAGUCUGAUGGAGCCAUGCCGCGUGGAUGAAGAAGGCCUUAGGGUUGUAAAGUACUUUCAGUCGGGAGGCGUUAUCGACAGAAGAAGCACCGGCUAACUCCGUGCCAGCCGCCGCGGUAAUUC
Molecule: ribosomal RNA, 403 nt
Filed under: uncultured bacterium
Lineage: Bacteria
Description: partial 16S ribosomal RNA
Rfam family: Bacterial small subunit ribosomal RNA
Source: RNAcentral